This 407-nucleotide ribosomal RNA is filed under the name uncultured bacterium. RNAcentral's name for it is "partial 16S ribosomal RNA". It matches the Rfam family "Bacterial small subunit ribosomal RNA", at positions 28 to 526 of the family's 1533-position model. The record is from RNAcentral.
GACGAACGCUGGCGGCGUGCCUAAUACAUGCAAGUCGGGCGGAGCGGCGGACGGGUGCGUAAUGUAUGGGGAUCUGCCUGAUGGAGGGGGAUAACGUCCGGAAACGGGCGCUAAUACCGCAUACUAUCAGAUGAGCCUAGGUCGGAUUAGCUAGUUGGUGGGGUAAAGGCCUACCAAGGCGACGAUCCGUAACUGGUCUGAGAGGAUGAUCAGUCACACUGGAACUGAGACACGGUCCAGACUCCUACGGGAGGCAGCAGUGGGGAAUAUUGGACAAUGGGCGAAAGCCUGAUCCAGCCAUGCCGCGUGUGUGAAGAAGGUCUUCGGAUUGUAAAGCACUUUAAGUUGGGAGGCGUUACCAACAGAAUAAGCACCGGCUAACUUCGUGCCAGCAGCCGCGGUAAUUC